This is a transfer RNA of Phanerochaete carnosa HHB-10118-sp, 89 nucleotides long. It matches the Rfam family "tRNA". Rfam says of the family: Transfer RNA (tRNA) molecules are approximately 80 nucleotides in length. Their secondary structure includes four short double-helical elements and three loops (D, anti-codon, and T loops). Further hydrogen bonds mediate the characteristic L-shaped molecular structure. tRNAs have two regions of fundamental functional importance: the anti-codon, which is responsible for specific mRNA codon recognition, and the 3' end, to which the tRNAs corresponding amino acid is attached (by aminoacyl-tRNA synthetases). tRNAs cope with the degeneracy of the genetic code in two manners: having more than one tRNA (with a specific anti-codon) for a particular amino acid; and 'wobble' base-pairing, i.e. permitting non-standard base-pairing at the 3rd anti-codon position. Lineage: Eukaryota; Fungi; Basidiomycota; Agaricomycetes; Polyporales; Phanerochaetaceae. The record is from Rfam.
GGGGCCAUGGCGCAACGGUAGCGCGUCUGAUUCCAGUCAUGCGGUCAUGUGACUCCAGAAGGUUGAGUGUUCAAGUCACUCUGGCCUCA